UACGUAGGGCGCAAGCGUUGUCCGGAAUUAUUGGGCGUAAAGAGCUCGUAGGCGGUCUGUUGCGUCUGCCGUGAAAACCCGAGGCUUAACCUCGGGCCUGCGGUGGAUACGGGCGGACUAGAGGUAGGUAGGGGAGAAUGGAAUUCCCGGUGUAGCGGUGAAAUGCGCAGAUAUCGGGAGGAACACCGGUGGCGAAGGCGGUUCUCUGGGCCUUACCUGACGCUGAGGAGCGAAAGCGUGGGGAGCGAACAG
RNAcentral lists this ribosomal RNA (252 nucleotides) under uncultured bacterium. RNAcentral describes it as "partial 16S ribosomal RNA". It matches the Rfam family "Bacterial small subunit ribosomal RNA", at positions 524 to 775 of the family's 1533-position model. The record is from RNAcentral.